UACAGAGGGUGCAAGCGUUAAUCGGAUUUACUGGGCGUAAAGCGUGUGUAGGUGGCUCGCUAAGUCGGUUGUGAAAUCCCUGGGCUCAACCUGGGAAUUGCAGUUCGAUACUGAUGAGCUCGAGUUCGGUAGAGGGUGACGGAAUUCCCGGUGUAGCGGUGGAAAUGCGUAGAUAUCGGGAGGAACAUCGAUGGCGAAGGCAAUCACCUGGGCCUGAACUGACACUGUGACACGAAAGCGUGGGUAGCAACAGG
RNAcentral lists this ribosomal RNA (254 nucleotides) under uncultured bacterium. RNAcentral describes it as "partial 16S ribosomal RNA". It matches the Rfam family "Bacterial small subunit ribosomal RNA", at positions 524 to 775 of the family's 1533-position model. The record is from RNAcentral.